ACAUGCACUAUGCAACUCUGAUCAUCUCACAACACUUGUAGAUGAAUCAACAUGUUGUUGGCAAUGAACAUGUGCUCAUGCAUAGCACCUAUCUUAAUUGUCGUUGUCCACCACUCAUCAAAUAUAGCUCAUUGACUAUGGGUUGGAUGGGUUGAUAACAAUAGAAUAAUUUGGUAGAGUACAUUACUUAAUUUUUUAAUAUUAAAAAUAAUUCUUAAGUUUAUGAGCCAGUCUAUGUACUCAAUUUCGGUUAAUCGGUUGAUAUCUAGGAUUUGAGCUAGAG
This 283-nucleotide long non-coding RNA is filed under the name Elaeis guineensis (African oil palm). RNAcentral describes it as "long non-coding RNA (EGUI_LNC074599)". Lineage: Eukaryota; Viridiplantae; Streptophyta; Magnoliopsida; Arecales; Arecaceae. The record is from RNAcentral.